Molecule: ribosomal RNA, 250 nt
Filed under: uncultured bacterium
Lineage: Bacteria
Description: partial 16S ribosomal RNA
Rfam family: Bacterial small subunit ribosomal RNA
Source: RNAcentral
AACGUAGGAGGCGAGCGUUAUCCGGAUUUACUGGGCGUAAAGCGCACGCAGGCGGCUCUGUGAGUCGGACGUGAAAGCUCUCGGCUUAACCGGGAGAGGCCGUUCGAUACUGCGGGGCUUGAGGUAGGGAGAGGAAUGCGGAAUUCCCGGUGUAGUGGUGGAAUGCGUAGAUAUCGGGAGGAACACCUGUGGCGAAAGCGGCAUUCUGGCCCUCACCUGACGCUGAGGUGCGAAAGCGUGGGUAGCAAAC